This 460-nucleotide ribosomal RNA is filed under the name uncultured bacterium. RNAcentral's name for it is "partial 16S ribosomal RNA". It matches the Rfam family "Bacterial small subunit ribosomal RNA", at positions 338 to 795 of the family's 1533-position model. The record is from RNAcentral.
CCUACGGGUGGCAGCAGUGAGGAAUAUUGGUCAAUGGACGGAAGUCUGAACCAGCCAUGCCGCGUGCAGGAAGACGGCUCUAUGAGUUGUAAACUGCUUUUGUACAAGGGUAAACCUGAAUACGUGUAUUCAGCUGAAAGUACUGUACGAAUAAGGAACGGCUAACCCCGGGCCAGCAGCCGCGGUAAUACGGAGGAACCAAGCGUUAUCCGGAUUUCAUGGGUUUAAAGGGUGCGUAGGCGGGUUGUUAAGGUAGAGGGGAAAUGUCCGAGCUUAACUCGGGAACUGCCUCUAAUACUGGUGAUCUAGAGAGUAGAUGCGGUAGGCGGAAUGUAUGGUGUAGCGGUGAAAUGCUUAGAGAUCAUACAGAACACCGAUUGCGAAGACAGCUUACCGGUCUAUAUCUGACGUUGAGGCACGAAAGCGUGGGGAGCAAACAGGAUUAGAUACCCGGGUAGUC